This 399-nucleotide ribosomal RNA is filed under the name uncultured bacterium. RNAcentral describes it as "bacterial SSU rRNA". It matches the Rfam family "Bacterial small subunit ribosomal RNA", at positions 30 to 426 of the family's 1533-position model. The record is from RNAcentral.
AUUGAACGCUGGCGGCAGGCCUAACACAUGCAAGUCGAGCGGUAGAGAGGUGCUUGCAUCUCUUGAGAGCGGCGGACGGGUGAGUAAUGCCUAGGAAUCUGCCUAGUGGUGGGGGAUAACGUUCGGAAACGGACGCUAAUACCGCAUACGUCCUACGGGAGAAAGCGGGGGAUCUUCGGACCUCGCGCCAUUAGAUGAGCCUAGGUCGGAUUAGCUAGUUGGUGAGGUAAUGGCUCACCAAGGCGACGAUCCGUAACUGGUCUGAGAGGAUGAUCAGUCACACUGGAACUGAGACACGGUCCAGACUCCUACGGGAGGCAGCAGUGGGGAAUAUUGGGACAAAUGGGCGAAAGCCUGAUCCAGCCAUGCCGCGUGUGUGAAGAAGGUACUUCGGAUUGU